RNAcentral lists this ribosomal RNA (118 nucleotides) under Clostridia bacterium. Lineage: Bacteria; Bacillati; Bacillota; Clostridia. The record is from RNAcentral.
UCUGGUGACUAUAACUUAAAGGGAAAUACCUGUACCCAUGCCGAACACAGAAGUCAAGCCUUUAGGUGCCGAAGAUACUUGCGAGUUACCUUGCUGGGAAAAUAGGUUGUUGCCAGAU